GUGAGGAAUUUUCCGCAAUGGGCGAAAGCCUGACGGAGCAAUGCCGCGUGAAGGAUGAAGGCCUAUGGGUUGUAAACUUCUUUUCUCAGAAAAGAAUUAUGACGGUAUCUGAGGAAUAAGCAUCGGCUAACUCUGUGCCAGCAGCCGCGGUAAGACAGAGGAUGCAAGCGUUAUCCGGAAUGAUUGGGCGUAAAGCGUCUGUAGGUUGUUUAAAAAGUAUUCUGUCAAAGAUUAGGGCUUAACCCUAGAUAGGCAGAAUAAACUUUUAAGCUAGAGGUUGGUAGAGGCAGAGGGAAUUCCCGGUGGAGCGGUGAAAUGCGUAGAUAUCGGGAGGAACACCAAAGGCGAAGGCACUCUGCUGGGCCAAUACUAACACUGAGAGACGAAAGCGAGGGGAGCAAAUGGGAUUAGAAACCCCAGUAGUCC
RNAcentral lists this ribosomal RNA (426 nucleotides) under uncultured bacterium. RNAcentral describes it as "bacterial SSU rRNA". It matches the Rfam family "Bacterial small subunit ribosomal RNA", at positions 354 to 796 of the family's 1533-position model. The record is from RNAcentral.